GUCGAGCGAACGGACGAGAAGCUCGCUUCUCUGAUGUUAGCGGCGGACGGGUGAGUAACACGUGGAUAACCUACCUAUAAGACUGGGAUAACUUCGGGAAACCGGAGCUAAUACCGGAUAAUAUUUUGAACCGCAUGGUUCAAAAGUGAAAGACGGUCUUGCUGUCACUUAUAGAUGGAUCCGCGCUGCAUUAGCUAGUUGGUAAGGUAACGGCUUACCAAGGCAACGAUGCAUAGCCGACCUGAGAGGGUGAUCGGCCACACUGGAACUGAGACACGGUCCAGACUCCUACGGGAGGCAGCAGUAGGGAAUCUUCCGCAAUGGGCGAAAGCCUGACGGAGCAACGCCGCGUGAUUGAUGAAGGUCUUCGGAUCGUAAAACUCUGUUAUUAGGGAAGAACAUAUGUGUAAGUAACUGUGCACAUCUCGACGGUACCUAAUCAGAGAGCCACGGCUAACUACGUGCCAGCAGCCGCGGUAAUACGUAGGUGGCAAGCGUUAUCCGGAAUUAUUGGGCGUAAAGCGCGCGUAGGCGGUUUUUUAAGUCUGAUGUGAAAGCCCACGGCUCAACCGUGGAGGGUCAUUGGAAACUGGAAAACUUGAGUGCAGAAGAGGAAAGUGGAAUUCCAUGUGUAGCGGUGAAAUGCGCAGAGAUAUGGAGGAACACCAGUGGCGAAGGCGACUUUCUGGUCUGUAA
Molecule: ribosomal RNA, 696 nt
Filed under: uncultured Staphylococcus sp.
Lineage: Bacteria; Bacillati; Bacillota; Bacilli; Caryophanales; Staphylococcaceae
Description: bacterial SSU rRNA
Rfam family: Bacterial small subunit ribosomal RNA
Source: RNAcentral